CAGUCGCCGCGGUAAUACGAGGGGGGCAAGCGUUGUUCGGAAUUAUUGGGCGUAAAGGGUGCGUAGGCGGUUUGGCAAGUUUGGUGUGAAAUCUUCGGGCUCAACUCGAAGUCUGCAUCGAAAACUGCCGGGCUUGAGUAUGGGAGAGGUGAGUGGAAUUUCCGGUGUAGCGGUGAAAUGCGUAGAUAUCGGAAGGAACACCUGUGGCGAAAGCGGCUCACUGGACCAUAACUGACGCUGAUGCACGAAAGCUAGGGGAGCAAACAGGAUUAAAUACCCCUGUAGUCCCUGUCUCUUAUAC
RNAcentral lists this ribosomal RNA (301 nucleotides) under uncultured bacterium. Its description in RNAcentral is "partial 16S ribosomal RNA". It matches the Rfam family "Bacterial small subunit ribosomal RNA", at positions 509 to 807 of the family's 1533-position model. The record is from RNAcentral.